AUCGUUUAAUACUACCAUCAGAUUUGUUCUUGAUCUUAUAUAUCCAUUUGCUUUUAAUGGCAUGUUUGCCUAGGAGAAGUGGCAUUACAAACCAAGUGUGAUAAAGCUUUUAAGGCCAUAAUUUCAUGGGCCAUAGCAUCACGCCAGUGAGCAUAUUUCAUGGGACUUCAAUUAUUUUUAUGUUCAUGGCACUAGUGUGCUUUAUAUAUGAGUUGAGCCCUUCGACUU
Molecule: long non-coding RNA, 228 nt
Filed under: Elaeis guineensis (African oil palm)
Lineage: Eukaryota; Viridiplantae; Streptophyta; Magnoliopsida; Arecales; Arecaceae
Description: long non-coding RNA (EGUI_LNC074813)
Source: RNAcentral